This 207-nucleotide ribosomal RNA is filed under the name uncultured bacterium. RNAcentral describes it as "partial 16S ribosomal RNA". It matches the Rfam family "Bacterial small subunit ribosomal RNA", at positions 28 to 225 of the family's 1533-position model. The record is from RNAcentral.
GACGAACGCUGGCGGCGUGCUUAACACAUGCAAGUGGAGCGACGGACCAGGCUUCGGCCUGGGGCCAAGCCGCGAACGGGUGAGUAACACGUGGGCAACCUGCCCCGACGACCGGGACAACCCGACGGAAACGUACGGGCUAAUACCGGAUGUGCUCGCCUCGCGCAAGCGAGGCGCGUAAAGGAAGCUUCGGCCUCCGCAUCGGGA